CCCAAGCGAACAGUAUCACCAAGAAGUGCCGGCUUCUCAAGUAUGACGAAAGCUUGCAGUUUUAUUAUUGCGACUGUUUUGGUGGUAUGUGGUGUCUUGCUGACCACUACAGAAAAUGGAGGUCCUGCACGUGCCUUAGGAGUUCCACUUCCUGAGCCAAGUCCGGGAUGGGGUCGUCCUUCCCGCCCGUAUACAACUCCUCGAACAACUACGAGAUCUACACCAAGUUGUUGGAGUGGUCCCGCAAAAAGGCUCCAAAAUCCUCAGCAGUAUAAAACUAUCAAAUUUUGAGAAAGGAUCUCAUGUGGAAAGCAUACUGCUUAUUUGCAAGAUAAAUCUCCAACAAGGACCUUCACAUCUCUACCUUGACACGUGAAUAUGCAGAGAACCAUGAUGUAUACAAUGAGUUUGCUGACUGGAUCAUGACACUAUAAAAAAGCAGUCCCUUGAAGGCAUUGUUCAGGGCCGGAGCGUUGUACACAAUAUGCCAACUGUAGCGUGCGCUGACGGAUGGAAUCGCAAGCAUUUGACGCCUCUUUGGAGCAGCUUCGAAAACGGGACAGAUGACUACUUGAUGUGAUGGCUAUGUUGCUUGCCCUGUGUUCAGAAUUUUAUAUUUUCUGCAAUAAAGGAGGACAGAAGACGUUUAA
Molecule: long non-coding RNA, 650 nt
Organism: Dermacentor albipictus
Lineage: Eukaryota; Metazoa; Arthropoda; Arachnida; Ixodida; Ixodidae
Source: RefSeq, a predicted model, not a curated record